RNAcentral lists this ribosomal RNA (253 nucleotides) under uncultured bacterium. RNAcentral describes it as "partial 16S ribosomal RNA". It matches the Rfam family "Bacterial small subunit ribosomal RNA", at positions 524 to 776 of the family's 1533-position model. The record is from RNAcentral.
UACGGAGGGAGCUAGCGUUAUUCGGAAUGACUGGGCGUAAAGCGCACGUAGGCGGCUUUGUACGUAAGAGGUGAAAGCCUGGAGCUCAACUCCAGAAUUGCCUUUUAGACUGCAUCGCUUGAAUCAUGGAGAGGUGAGUGGAAUUCCGAGUGUAGAGGUGAAAUUCGUAGAUAUUCGGAAGAACACCAGUGGCGAAGGCGGCUCACUGGACAUGUAUUGACGCUGAGGUGCGAAAGCGUGGGGAGCAAACAGG